CCUUCUUCUUCUUCUUCUUCUUCUUCUUCGUCUUCUUCUCCGG
This 43-nucleotide small RNA is filed under the name Arabidopsis thaliana (thale cress). RNAcentral describes it as "ATSL249690". Lineage: Eukaryota; Viridiplantae; Streptophyta; Magnoliopsida; Brassicales; Brassicaceae. The record is from RNAcentral.